RNAcentral lists this ribosomal RNA (470 nucleotides) under uncultured bacterium. RNAcentral describes it as "bacterial SSU rRNA". It matches the Rfam family "Bacterial small subunit ribosomal RNA", at positions 28 to 507 of the family's 1533-position model. The record is from RNAcentral.
GAUAAACGCUGGCGGCGCACAUAAGACAUGCAAGUCGAACGGACUUAACCAUUAGUUUACUAUUGGAGCGGUUAGUGGCGGACUGGUGAGUAACACGUAAGCAACCUGCCUAUCAGAGGGGAACAACAGUUAGAAAUGACUGCUAAUACCGCAUAUGCCUAAGUACCACAUGGUACAAUAGGGAAAGGAGCAAUCCGCUGAUAGAUGGGCUUGCGUCUGAUUAGAUAGUUGGUGGGGUAAUGGCCUACCAAGUCGACGAUCAGUAGCCGGGCUGAGAGGUUGAACGGCCACAUUGGGACUGAGAUACGGCCCAGACUCCUACGGGAGGCAGCAGUCGGGAAUAUUGCGCAAUGGAGGAAACUCUGACGCAGUGACGCCGCGUGCAGGAAGAAGGUUUUCGGAUUGUAAACUGCUUUAGACAGGGAAGAAACAAGACAGUACCUGUAGAAUAAGCUCCGGCUAACUACGUG